GCUCGAUUGGGGUAGUGGUAGCCCGCCAGGUUCUCAGCCUGGUAGUACGAGUUCGAUCCUCGUAUCGAGUG
This 71-nucleotide transfer RNA is filed under the name Mycobacterium intracellulare. RNAcentral describes it as "tRNA-Glu". It matches the Rfam family "tRNA". From Rfam's summary of the family: Transfer RNA (tRNA) molecules are approximately 80 nucleotides in length. Their secondary structure includes four short double-helical elements and three loops (D, anti-codon, and T loops). The record is from RNAcentral. Lineage: Bacteria; Bacillati; Actinomycetota; Actinomycetes; Mycobacteriales; Mycobacteriaceae.